RNAcentral lists this ribosomal RNA (439 nucleotides) under uncultured bacterium. RNAcentral's name for it is "partial 16S ribosomal RNA". It matches the Rfam family "Bacterial small subunit ribosomal RNA", at positions 339 to 795 of the family's 1533-position model. The record is from RNAcentral.
CUACGGGGUGCACCAGUGGGGAAUAUUGCACAAUGGGGGGAACCCUGAUGCAGCAACGCCGCGUGGAGGAUGACGCAUUUCGGUGUGUAAACUCCUUUUAUAUAGGAAGAUAAUGACGGUACUAUAUGAAUAAGCACCGGCUAACUCCGUGCCAGCAGCCGCGGUAAUACGGAGGGUGCAAGCGUUACUCGGAAUCACUGGGCGUAAAGCGCGCGCAGGCGGCCUUUUAAGUUGGAUGUGAAAGCCUACGGCUUAACCGUAGAACUGCAUCCAAAACUACUAGGCUAGAGUCUGGGAGGGGAAGAUGGAAUUAGUUGUGUAGGGGUAAAAUCCGUAGAGAUAACUAGGAAUACCAAAAGCGAAGGCAAUCUUCUGGAACAGUACUGACGCUGAGGCGCGAAAGCGUGGGGAGCAAACAGGAUUAGAUACCCGGGUAGUC